Cydia strobilella is the source of this 163-nucleotide long non-coding RNA. RefSeq lists it as uncharacterized. The record is from RefSeq and is a predicted model, not a curated record. The transcript has 3 exons. NCBI's taxonomy places the organism in Eukaryota, Metazoa, Arthropoda, Insecta, Lepidoptera, Tortricidae.
GGCCGUGCGCAAAAAUUGGGGAUCCCUUUGUUUGACAUAAUUAUUGAAAGUCAUAAUGUAAUGAUUGUCAGAUUAUCAUUAGUCAUAAUUCUGAAACCGUUAACAUUUCAGGAUUUUCGUAAGGUUAUACUGUAGAUAGGUUAGGUUAGAUAUGUUUUGGUUU